AUACGGACUGCCGGUAAAAAGCCGGAGGAAGGUGAGGAUGAUGUCAAGUCAGCAUGACCUUUAUAUCCAGGGCUACACACACGCUACAAUGGUCUGUACAAUUGGUUGCCAAGCCGCGAGGCGGAGCCAAUCCGUAAAGCAGGCCUCAGUUCAGAUUGCAGUCUGCAACUCGACUGCAUGAAGCCGGAGUUGCUAGUAACCGCAGGUCAGCAAUACUGCGGUGAAUACGUUCCCGGGUCUU
Molecule: ribosomal RNA, 241 nt
Filed under: uncultured Anaerolineaceae bacterium
Lineage: Bacteria; Bacillati; Chloroflexota; Anaerolineae; Anaerolineales; Anaerolineaceae
Description: partial 16S ribosomal RNA
Rfam family: Bacterial small subunit ribosomal RNA
Source: RNAcentral